RNAcentral lists this ribosomal RNA (329 nucleotides) under uncultured eukaryote. RNAcentral describes it as "partial 18S ribosomal RNA". It matches the Rfam family "Eukaryotic small subunit ribosomal RNA", at positions 1470 to 1796 of the family's 1831-position model. The record is from RNAcentral.
CCCUUAGAUGUUCUGGGCCGCACGCGCGCUACACGGAUGCAUUCAACGAGUCUAAAACCUGCUCUGAUAGGGGUGGGUAAUCUUUUGAAUGUGCAUCGUGAUUGGGAUAGAUGAUUGCAAUUUUUCAUCUUCAACGAGGAAUGCCUAGUAAACGCAAGUCAUCAGCUUGCAUUGAUUACGUCCCUGCCCUUUGUACACACCGCCCGUCGCUCCUACCGAUUGAAUGAUCCGAUGAAUAUCAUGGAUUGAGGAUGCAAGCAGGUUCGCCUGUCUUCAUCUUCGAGAAGUGAAGUAAAUCUUAUCAUUUAGAGGAAGGAGAAGUCGUAACA